GCUGGGCAUGGUGGCACGUGCCUGUAAUCCCAGCUACUCGGGAGGCUGAGGCAGGAGAAUCACUUGAACCCGGGAGGUGGAGGCUGAGGUGACCUGAGAUCGCGCCAUUGCACUCCAGCCUGGGCAACAAGAGUGAAACUCCGUCUCAAAAAAAAAAAAACCAUAAAAUUUCACUUUAUUGAUGGACGAGGUUUUUUUUUUUUUUUAAUUUUUUUUUUUGAGACAGAGUCUUGCUCUGUCGCCCAGGCUGGAGUGCAGUGGUGUGAUCUCAGCUCACUGCAACCUCCGCCUCCUGGGUUCAAGUGAUUCUCCUGCCUCAG
This 320-nucleotide small RNA is filed under the name Pongo abelii (Sumatran orangutan). Its description in RNAcentral is "Metazoan signal recognition particle RNA (ENSPPYG00000030232.1)". The record is from RNAcentral. Lineage: Eukaryota; Metazoa; Chordata; Mammalia; Primates; Hominidae.